GAUGAACGCUAGCGGCAGGCCUAAUACAUGCAAGUCGAACGGUGGCAGCAAUGUCAUAGUGGCGCACGGGUGCGUAACACGUAACUAACCUACCCAUCAUUGGGGGAUAGCCCGCCGAAAGGCGGAUUAAUACCGCAUAAGACAAUAGAAGGGCAUCCUUUAGUUGUUAAAGAUUUAUUGAUGAUGGAUGGGGUUGCGGGUCAUUAGCUAGUUGGUAAGGUAACGGCUUACCAAGGCGACGAUGACUAGGGGAGCUGAGAGGCUGGUCCCCCACACGGGCACUGAGAUACCGGGCCUACUCCUACGGGAGGCAGCACUAGGGAAUAUUGGGCCAUGGGCGAGAGUCUGACCCAGCCAUGCCGCGUGCAUGAAGAAGGCUUUCUGAGUCGUAAACUGCUUUUGACACGGAAGAAUAAGCACUACGUGUAUUGUGAUGACGGUCACGCGCAUAAUGCGCACCCCCUAACUUCGUGCCAGCAGUCCGCGUUGCUCCCAUGCUGCCGAGGAUCGUCCAGAUUUAUCGGUUUUAACGGGGUCGUAGGCGGCCCGUUAGUCCGGGGUGAAGCCCGUUGCUCACAACGGAACUGCCCUGGAUACUGGCGGGCUUGAGUACAGACGAGGUUGGCGGAAUGGACUGAGUAGCGGUGAAAUGCAUAGAUACAGUCCAGAACCCCGAUUGCGAAGGCAGCUGACUAGGCUGUUACUGACGCUGAGGCACGACAGCGUGGGGAGCGAACAGGAUUAGAUACCCUGGUAGUCCACGCCGUAAACGAUGGAUACUCGCUGCGAGCUAAAGAUUGUUCGUGGCUUAGGGAAACCGAUAAGUAUCCCACCUGGGGAGUACGCCGGCAACGGUGAAACUCAAAGGAAUUGACGGGGGCCCGCACAAGUGGUGGAGCAUGUGGUUUAAUUCGAUGAUACGCGAGGAACCUUACCUAGGCUAGAAUGCGCGUGACCGGCUCAGAGAUGAGCCUUUCCUUCGGGACACAAAGCAAGGUGCUGCAUGGCCGUCGUCAGCUCGUGCCGUGAGGUGUUGGGUUAAGUCCCGCAACGAGCGCAACCCCUAUGUUUAGUUGCCAGCACGUAAUGGUGGGGACUCUAGACAGACUGCCUGCGCAAGCAGUGAGGAAGGCGGGGACGACGUCAGGUCAUCAUGGCCCUUACGCCUAGGGCGACACACGUGCUACAAUGGACGGUACAGCGGGUAGCUACACAGCGAUGUGAUGCCAAUCUCGAAAAGCCGUUCUCAGUUCGGAUCGGAGUCUGCAACUCGACUCCGUGAAGCUGGAAUCACUAGUAAUCGCGCAUCAGCCAUGGCGCGGUGAAUACGUUCCCGGGCCU
Molecule: ribosomal RNA, 1341 nt
Filed under: uncultured bacterium
Lineage: Bacteria
Description: bacterial SSU rRNA
Rfam family: Bacterial small subunit ribosomal RNA
Source: RNAcentral